Molecule: long non-coding RNA, 156 nt
Organism: Telopea speciosissima
Lineage: Eukaryota; Viridiplantae; Streptophyta; Magnoliopsida; Proteales; Proteaceae
Exons: 3
Source: RefSeq, a predicted model, not a curated record
UAAACGUAGAGAGAGUGAGAGAGAGAGAGAGAGAAGGGAGAGAGAGAGAGCCAAAAGCAACCACAGCUAGAACCAAGGAUGCCACGUUGGAUCCAUCAUGCACAAAUUCCUGGGAGUCAGGGCAGCUUCAACCAGCUCAGUGAUGCCUCGCUGUAC